GACGAACGCUGGCGGCGUGCCUAAUACAUGCAAGUAGAACGCACAGUUUAUACCGUAGCUUGCUACACCAUAGACUGUGAGUUGCGAACGGGUGAGUAACGCGUAGGUAACCUGCCUGGUAGCGGGGGAUAACUAUUGGAAACGAUAGCUAAUACCGCAUAAUAUUGAUUAUUGCAUGAUAAUUGAUUGAAAGAUGCUAUUGCAUCACUACCAGAUGGACCUGCGUUGUAUUAGCUAGUAGGUGAGGUAACGGCUCACCUAGGCGACGAUACAUAGCCGACCUGAGAGGGUGAUCGGCCACACUGGGACUGAGACACGGCCCAGACUCCUACGGGAGGCAGCAGUAGGGAAUCUUCGGCAAUGGACGAAAGUCUGACCGAGCAACGCCGCGUGAGUGAAGAAGGUUUUCGGAUCGUAAAGCUCUGUUGUAAGAGAAGAACGGGUGUGAGAGUGGAAAGUUCACACCGUGACGGUAUCUUACCAGAAAGGGACGGCUAACUACGUG
RNAcentral lists this ribosomal RNA (505 nucleotides) under uncultured bacterium. Its description in RNAcentral is "partial 16S ribosomal RNA". It matches the Rfam family "Bacterial small subunit ribosomal RNA", at positions 28 to 507 of the family's 1533-position model. The record is from RNAcentral.